UGUGUGAGCAGUCACAAAGCAAUGCCCAGCGAUAAAACUGUCUGGGAAAAAAUAAAAGCAUAAGCGAGAUAACAAAAAACAGCAUGCUAAAACUAACAAACAUAGCAACAAAUAUAAAAGCUGCAAUCCAAGCAACCACAACAAUUGCAAUGGGGCGCAACAAAGAGAUUUUGUUGUCAACGUCAAGCGUACCCCGAGGCUACUUGUCUAGCACGAUAUCAUCCGUUGGUAGAUUUUGAUGCCGCACUCGGCUAUUCUAAUGGAAAAAGAGCAUGAAAAAAAAGUUUGUUUAAUAAACGCUGUCACGGUUCAAUGCGCGCGCUUGCGGCAUAAAUGUUGCCAUUAAAUCACAAAGCAUUUUAACUGAUUUUCAACGGAGUUAUUGAUGGUUUUUGACGGCAAAGAAACGUUGUUCCAAAGGAUUAGUGACCUCAAAUGUAUCUAAAGUUUGUUUCAGAAACCAAUUUUUGUCCUUCACACUGCCGGCUACCAGAUAAUCGAUCAGCUGUCACACAUUUUGGUUUUUGCUUUUUAUAAGAAGUUGCCAAUGCGAAAAUGUCACCAACCACGCCUUUGUAUGUGUGAGAAAUAAAACUUGAGAACAAAUUUUUAAUUGGAAAACUUUUAUUAAUUGCUGUCGAGUCUUGGCCGACCAUAGCUGCCAUUUAAUAUACAGUUAUGUAUGUUUGCUUUAUACACCAGUCAAUAUCGAUGAAGCGUAGAAUUUGAGAAAUAUAGAAAUUAUUAUGAAGCAAAU
This is a long non-coding RNA of Zeugodacus cucurbitae (melon fly), 757 nucleotides long. RefSeq lists it as uncharacterized. The record is from RefSeq and is a predicted model, not a curated record. NCBI's taxonomy places the organism in Eukaryota, Metazoa, Arthropoda, Insecta, Diptera, Tephritidae. The transcript has 4 exons.